This 534-nucleotide ribosomal RNA is filed under the name Pasteurella multocida RIIF. RNAcentral describes it as "bacterial LSU rRNA". It matches the Rfam family "Bacterial large subunit ribosomal RNA", at positions 1 to 568 of the family's 2925-position model. The record is from RNAcentral. Lineage: Bacteria; Pseudomonadati; Pseudomonadota; Gammaproteobacteria; Pasteurellales; Pasteurellaceae.
GUAUGGUUAAGUGACUAAGCGUACAGGGCGGAUGCCUUGGCAAUCAGAGGCGAUGAAGGACGUGCUAAUCUGCGAAAAGCUUGGAUGAGUCGAUAAGAGGCGUUUAAUCCAAGAUGUCCGAAUGGGGAAACCCAGUAGAUGAAGAAUCUACUAUCAAUAAAUGAAUACAUAGUUUAUUGAGGCGAACCGGGAGAACUGAAACAUCUAAGUACCCCGAGGAAAAGAAAUCAACCGAGAUUCUGUGAGUAGCGGCGAGCGAAAGCGGAAGAGCCAGUAAGUUUUAGCUAGCAUAUUAGAGGAAUUGGCUGGGAAGCCAAAUCAAAGAGGGUGAUAAUCCCGUACUCGAAAGUAUGUUAGUGGAACUAAGCUUACGAUAAGUAAGGCGGGACACGAGAAAUCCUGUUUGAAGAUGGGGGGACCAUCCUCCAAGGCUAAAUACUCCUGAUUGACCGAUAGUGAACCAGUACUGUGAAGGAAAGGCGAAAAGAACCCCGGUGAGGGGAGUGAAAUAGAACCUGAAACCCUGUACGUACA